GGUUGUCGUCAGCUCGUGUCGUGAGAUGUUGGGUUAAGUCCCGCAACGAGCGCAACCCCUAUGUUCAGUAGCCAGCAGGUAAAGCUGGGCACUCUGGAGAGACUGCCGGGGAUAACCCGGAGGAAGGUGGGGAUGACGUCAAAUCAUCAUGCCCCUUAUGAUUUGGGCUACACACGUGCUACAAUGGCGUAAACAGAGGGAAGCGAAGGAGCGAUCUGGAGCAAAUCCCAAAAAUAACGUCUCAGUUCGGACUGCAGUCUGCAACUCGACUGCACGAAGCCGGAAUCGCUAGUAAUCGCGGAUCAGAAUGCCGCGGUGAAUACGUUCCCGGGUCUUGUACACACCGCCCGUCACACCAUGGGAGUUGGAAAUGCCCGAAGUCAGUGACCGAACCUGAAAAGGACGGAGCUGCCGAAGGCGGGUUCAAUAACUGGGGUGAAGUCGUAACAAGGUAGCCGUAUCGGAAGGUGCGGCUGGAUCACCUC
This 485-nucleotide ribosomal RNA is filed under the name uncultured bacterium. RNAcentral's name for it is "bacterial SSU rRNA". It matches the Rfam family "Bacterial small subunit ribosomal RNA", at positions 1047 to 1529 of the family's 1533-position model. The record is from RNAcentral.